Molecule: ribosomal RNA, 486 nt
Filed under: uncultured bacterium
Lineage: Bacteria
Description: partial 16S ribosomal RNA
Rfam family: Bacterial small subunit ribosomal RNA
Source: RNAcentral
AUUGAACGCUGGCGGCAUGCCUUACACAUGCAAGUCGAACGGCAGCACGGGUGCUUGCACCUGGUGGCGAGUGGCGAACGGGUGAGUAAUACAUCGGAACAUGUCCUGUAGUGGGGGAUAGCCCGGCGAAAGCCGGAUUAAUACCGCAUACGAUCUACGGAUGAAAGCGGGGGACCUUCGGGCCUCGCGCUAUCGGGUUGGCCGAUGGCUGAUUAGCUAGUUGGUGGGGUAAAGGCCUACCAAGGCGACGAUCAGUAGCUGGUCUGAGAGGACGGCCAGCCACACUGGGACUGAGACACGGCCCAGACUCCUACGGGAGGCAGCAGUGGGGAAUUUUGGACAAUGGGCGAAAGCCUGAUCCAGCAAUGCCGCGUGUGUGAAGAAGGCCUUCGGGUUGUAAAGCACUUUUGUCCGGAAAGAAAUCCUUGGCCCUAAUACGGUCGGGGGAUGACGGUACCGGAAGAAUAAGCACCGGCUAACUACGUG